GACGAACGCUGGCGGCGUGCCUAAUACAUGCAAGUUGAGCGCUGAAGGUUGGUACUUGUACCAACUGGAUGAGCAGCGAACGGGUGAGUAACGCGUGGGGAAUCUGCCUUUGAGCGGGGGACAACAUUUGGAAACGAAUGCUAAUACCGCAUAAAAACUUUAAACACAAGUUUUAAGUUUGAAAGAUGCAAUUGCAUCACUCAAAGAUGAUCCCGCGUUGUAUUAGCUAGUUGGUGAGGUAAAGGCUCACCAAGGCGAUGAUACAUAGCCGACCUGAGAGGGUGAGCGGCCAAAUUGGGACUGAGACACGGCCCAAACUCCUACGGGAGGGAGCAGGAGGGAAUCUUUGGCAAUGGACGAAAGUCUGACCGAGCAACGCCGCGUGAGUGAAGAAGGUUUUCGGAUCGUAAAACUCUGUUGGUAGAGAAGAACGUUGGUGAGAGUGGAAAGCUCAUCAAGUGACGGUAACUACCCAGAAAGGGACGGCUAACUACGUG
Molecule: ribosomal RNA, 497 nt
Filed under: uncultured bacterium
Lineage: Bacteria
Description: partial 16S ribosomal RNA
Rfam family: Bacterial small subunit ribosomal RNA
Source: RNAcentral